AUUGAACGCUGGCGGCAUGCCUUACACAUGCAAGUCGAACGGCAGCACGGGAGCAAUCCUGGUGGCGAGUGGCGAACGGGUGAGUAAAGUAUCGGAACGUACCUUUCAGUGGGGGAUAACGUAGCGAAAGUUACGCUAAUACCGCAUAUUCUGUGAGCAGGAAAGCAGGGGAUCGCAAGACCUUGCGCUGAUUGAGCGGCCGAUAUCAGAUUAGCUAGUUGGUGGGGUAAAGGCCUACCAAGGCGACGAUCUGUAGCGGGUCUGAGAGGAUGAUCCGCCACACUGGAACUGAGACACGGUCCAGACUCCUACGGGAGGCAGCAGUGGGGAAUUUUGGACAAUGGGGGCAACCCUGAUCCAGUCAUGCCGCGUGAGUGAAGAAGGCCUUCGGGUUGUAAAGCUCUUUCGGUCCGGGACGAAAUCGCACGGGCUAAUAUCCUGUGUGGAUGACGGUACCCGC
This 460-nucleotide ribosomal RNA is filed under the name uncultured bacterium. Its description in RNAcentral is "bacterial SSU rRNA". It matches the Rfam family "Bacterial small subunit ribosomal RNA", at positions 30 to 482 of the family's 1533-position model. The record is from RNAcentral.